Molecule: ribosomal RNA, 465 nt
Filed under: uncultured bacterium
Lineage: Bacteria
Description: partial 16S ribosomal RNA
Rfam family: Bacterial small subunit ribosomal RNA
Source: RNAcentral
GAUGAACGCUGGCGGCGUGCUUAACACAUGCAAGUCGAACGAUGAAGCCCAGCUUGCUGGGUGUAUUAGUGGCGAACGGGUGAGUACACGUGAGUAACCUGCCCUUAACUCUGGGAUAAGCCUGGGAAACUGGGUCUAAUACCGGAUAGGAGCGUCCACCGCAUGGUGGGUGUUGGAAAGAUUUAUCGGUUUUGGAUGGACUCGCGGCCUAUCAGCUUGUUGGUGAGGUAAUGGCUCACCAAGGCGACGACGGGUAGCCGGCCUGAGAGGGUGACCGGCCACACUGGGACUGAGACACGGCCCAGACUCCUACGGGAGGCAGCAGUGGGGAAUAUUGCACAAUGGGCGCAAGCCUGAUGCAGCGACGCCGCGUGAGGGAUGACGGCCUUCGGGUUGUAAACCUCUUUCAGUAGGGAAGAAGCGAAAGUGACGGUACCUGCAGAAGAAGCACCGGCUAACUACGUG